CCUACGGGAGGCAGCAGUGAGGAAUAUUGGUCAAUGGCCGAGAGGCUGAACCAGCCAAGUCGCGUGAGGGAAGACUGUCCUAUGGAUUGUAAACCUCUUUUGUCAGGGAGCAAAGUCACCCACGUGUGGGUGUUGGAAAGUAUCUGAAGAAAAAGCAUCGGCUAACUCCGUGCCAGCAGCCGCGGUAAUACGGAGGAUGCGAGCGUUAUCCGGAUUUAUUGGGUUUAAAGGGUGCGUAGGCGGGUGAUUAAGUCAGCGGUAAAAUCGGGGAGCUCAACUCCAUCCAGCCGUUGAAACUGAUGAUCUUGAGUGGGCGAGCAGAAGGCGGAAUGCGUGGUGUAGCGGUGAAAUGCAUAGAUAUCACGCAGAACCCCGAUUGCGAAGGCAGCCUUCCG
RNAcentral lists this ribosomal RNA (395 nucleotides) under uncultured bacterium. RNAcentral describes it as "partial 16S ribosomal RNA". It matches the Rfam family "Bacterial small subunit ribosomal RNA", at positions 338 to 731 of the family's 1533-position model. The record is from RNAcentral.